CACCUCAUCGAAAAUAUGAGAUAAAAUGGAACAUUCCUCAUCGUAAAUAUGAGAUUCAAUGGCGUAUUCGGCCGCAUAAGCUGCAUCUGCAAUGCGAGACUCCAAUGGAUCCGCUUCUUUGAGUAGCCACGAUGGGGGUUAUAGCCUUGAAGAAAUUCGAGCAGGAAAUUAAUCUUUUGAGUGAGAGACUCAGCUUGUUGAAUGGAGAGAGAAAUAGGAGGGCGAGGAUGAUGCUGAAGGUUGUUUAUGAUAUGCAUAGCAGAAACUAGAGUUGCGUAAGCUGCUGCCAUGGCUUGUAUUAUUGCUUCGGAGUUGUGAAGGAAGAAGAUGAGACUGUGAUUUUCUAUUCUCAAAAUCUAACAAUACAUUCAAUUCAAUAUACUGUAUAACUCAAUUAUUGGAAACUUUUUCUUUUUAAGCUGUCAAAUCAC
Molecule: long non-coding RNA, 431 nt
Filed under: Salvia miltiorrhiza (redroot sage)
Lineage: Eukaryota; Viridiplantae; Streptophyta; Magnoliopsida; Lamiales; Lamiaceae
Description: long non-coding RNA (SMIL_LNC010795)
Source: RNAcentral